UUUUUGUUAGUUUAAAAAAAACAUUACUUUUUCGAAGUAAAUUUUCUUUAAGAGAACAAAAUU
This 63-nucleotide transfer RNA is filed under the name Macrogyropus costalimai. RNAcentral describes it as "tRNA-Glu". The record is from RNAcentral. Lineage: Eukaryota; Metazoa; Arthropoda; Insecta; Psocodea; Gyropidae.